GCAAACUUGGUCAUUUAGAGGAAGUAAAAGUCGUAACAAGGUUUCCGUAGGUGAACCUGCGGAAGGAUCAUUAUUGAAUGUGAAGGCUCGGGUUGUAGCUGGUCCUCUCUGUGGGGGGGGACAUGUGCUCGCCCGAUGCCCUUUCCAACACACCCCUGUGCACAAAUGCGUGGACGCGCGCCGGAUAGCUUUUGCUGUCUGGUGUGUAUCUGCGUCUUUCACAUACCCUUACGAAUGUUAAUGAAUGUCUACCUUGCGUUAAUCGCAUCUAAUACAACUUUCAACAACGGAUCUCUUGGCUCUCGCAUCGAUGAAGAACGCAGC
RNAcentral lists this unclassified non-coding RNA (324 nucleotides) under uncultured fungus. Its description in RNAcentral is "partial contains small subunit ribosomal RNA, internal transcribed spacer 1, and 5.8S ribosomal RNA". The stretch from base 1 to 73 matches the Rfam family "Eukaryotic small subunit ribosomal RNA", at positions 1759 to 1831 of the family's 1831-position model. Lineage: Eukaryota; Fungi. The record is from RNAcentral.